Molecule: transfer RNA, 87 nt
Filed under: Deltaproteobacteria bacterium
Lineage: Bacteria; Pseudomonadati; Myxococcota; Myxococcia
Also listed under: 1 other name
Description: tRNA-Leu
Rfam family: tRNA
About the family: Transfer RNA (tRNA) molecules are approximately 80 nucleotides in length. Their secondary structure includes four short double-helical elements and three loops (D, anti-codon, and T loops).
Source: RNAcentral
GCCGAAGUGGCGGAAUUGGUAGACGCGCUAGGUUCAGGGUCUAGUGGGGUUAUCCCCGUGGAGGUUCAAAUCCUCUCUUCGGCACCA